CUACGGGUGGCACCAGUGGGGAAUAUUGGACAAUGGGCGCAAGCCUGAUGCAGCCAUGCCGCGUGUAUGAAGAAGGCCUUCGGGUUGUAAAGUACUUUCAGCGGGGAGGAAGGGAGUAAAGUUAAUACCUUUGCUCAUUGACGUUACCCGCAGAAGAAGCACCGGCUAACUCCGUGCCAGCAGCCGCGGUAAUACGGAGGGUGCAAGCGUUAAUCGGAACUACUGGGCGUAAAGCGCCGCAGGCGGUUUGUUAAGUCAGAUGUGAAAUCCCCGGGCUCAACCUGGGAACUGCAUCUGUAACUGCCAGGUUGAGGUCUAGAGAAGGGGGGAGAAAUUCAGGGGGAGCGGUGAAAUGCCGUGGUGUUCGGGAGAAAACCGGUUGCGAAGGCCGCCCCCUUGAACGAAAAUGACGGGUAGGGUCGAAAGCGUGGGGAGCAAACAGGAUUAGAUACCCGGGUAGUC
This 462-nucleotide ribosomal RNA is filed under the name uncultured bacterium. RNAcentral's name for it is "partial 16S ribosomal RNA". It matches the Rfam family "Bacterial small subunit ribosomal RNA", at positions 339 to 795 of the family's 1533-position model. The record is from RNAcentral.